This 830-nucleotide ribosomal RNA is filed under the name Stenotrophomonas sp. Its description in RNAcentral is "bacterial SSU rRNA". It matches the Rfam family "Bacterial small subunit ribosomal RNA", at positions 117 to 942 of the family's 1533-position model. Lineage: Bacteria; Pseudomonadati; Pseudomonadota; Gammaproteobacteria; Lysobacterales; Lysobacteraceae. The record is from RNAcentral.
AUCGUAAUCUACUUUUUCGUGGGGGAUAACGUAGGGAAACUUACGCUAAUACCGCAGACGACCUACGGGUGAAAGCAGGGGAUCUUCGGACCUUGCGCGAUUGAAUGAGCCGAUGUCGGAUUAGCUAGUUGGCGGGGUAAAGGCCCACCAAGGCGACGAUCCGUAGCUGGUCUGUAAGGAUGAUCAGCCACACUGGAACUGAGACACGGUCCAGACUCCUACGGGAGGCAGCAGUGGGGAAUAUUGGACAAUGGGCGCAAGCCUGAUCCAGCCAUACCGCGUGGGUGAAGAAGGCCUUCGGGUUGUAAAGCCCUUUUGUUGGGAAAGAAAUCCAGCCGGCUAAUACCUGGUUGGGAUGACGGUACCCAAAGAAUAAGCACCGGCUAACUUCGUGCCAGCAGCCGCGGUAAUACGAAGGGUGCAAGCGUUACUCGGAAUUACUGGGCGUAAAGCGUGCGUAGGUGGUUGUUUAAGUCUGUUGUGAAAGCCCUGGGCUCAACCUGGGAACUGCAGUGGAAACUGGACAACUAGAGUGUGGUAGAGGGUAGCGGAAUUCCCGGUGUAGCAGUGAAAUGCGUAGAGAUCGGGAGGAACAUCCAUGGCGAAGGCAGCUACCUGGACCAACACUGACACUGAGGCACGAAAGCGUGGGGAGCAAACAGGAUUAGAUACCCUGGUAGUCCACGCCCUACACGAUGCGAACUGGAUGUUGGGUGCAAUUUGGCACGCAGUAUCGAAGCUAACGCGUUAAGUUCGCCGCCUGCGGAGUACGGUCGCAAGACUGAAACUCAAAGGAAUUGACGGGGGCCCGCACAAGCGGUGGAGUAAGG